AGACUUCAAGAAGUGUCUUGCUACGACAUCUGUCACCCCACUGCUGGCCAGGGUCGAUUUGGCUGGUCUGGCUGGCUAGGCUGGUGUCCCCCUUCCUCCCUCACCACUCCAUGUGAGUCCCUUCUGGGGCUGUGCUAGGUCGGAGAGGAUGACCUUCCCCGAUACAGGAGGACCAUUCUGUGGUCAAAGGUACAGGAGUAGCUGUGCUCUCCCGCCAGAAUCUCCCAACAAGCUCUCAAGGUCCAUUUGUAGGAGGAAGUAGGGGACCCAAGCUUCCAAGAUUCCAGACAUGUCCAUAUGAGGCCCUGCACGUGGCAGUCUGCCUUUCUAA
This is an unclassified non-coding RNA of Panthera pardus (leopard), 331 nucleotides long. Its record names the gene 7SK. It matches the Rfam family "7SK RNA". From Rfam's summary of the family: 7SK was discovered as an abundant small nuclear RNA in the mid-70s but a possible function has only recently been suggested. Two independent studies have found that 7SK RNA binds the CDK9/cyclin T complex (known as elongation factor P-TEFb). P-TEFb activates transcription by phosphorylating the C-terminal domain of RNA polymerase II. The record is from Ensembl. Lineage: Eukaryota; Metazoa; Chordata; Mammalia; Carnivora; Felidae.